CAGUAGCCGCGGGAAUACGUAGGGUGCGAGCGUUAAUCGGAAUUACUGGGCGUAAAGCGUGCGCAGGCGGUUUUGUAAGACAGGCGUGAAAUCCUCGGGCUUAACCUGGGAAUGGCGCUUGUGACUGCAAGGCUAGAGUGCGUCAGAGGGGGGUAGAAUUCCACGUGUAGCAGUGAAAUGCGUAGAGAUGUGGAGGAAUACCGAUGGCGAAGGCAGCCCUCUGGGCCUGCACUGACGCUCAUGCACGAAAGCGUGGGGAGCAAACAGGAUUAGAGACCCGUGUAGUCCCUGUCUCUUAUAC
Molecule: ribosomal RNA, 301 nt
Filed under: uncultured bacterium
Lineage: Bacteria
Description: partial 16S ribosomal RNA
Rfam family: Bacterial small subunit ribosomal RNA
Source: RNAcentral